This 889-nucleotide ribosomal RNA is filed under the name Agaricus julius. Its description in RNAcentral is "partial large subunit ribosomal RNA". It matches the Rfam family "Eukaryotic large subunit ribosomal RNA", at positions 71 to 947 of the family's 3401-position model. Lineage: Eukaryota; Fungi; Basidiomycota; Agaricomycetes; Agaricales; Agaricaceae. The record is from RNAcentral.
AGGAUUCCCCUAGUAACUGCGAGUGAAGCGGGAAAAGCUCAAAUUUAAAAUCUGGCGGUCUCUGGCCGUCCGAGUUGUAAUCUAGAGAAGUAAUGCCCGUGCUGGACCGUGUAUAAGUCUCCUGGGAUGGGGCGUCAUAGAGGGUGAGAAUCCCGUCUUUGACACGGACUACCAGUGCAUUGUGGUAUGCUCUCAAAGAGUCGAGUUGUUUGGGAAUGCAGCUCAAAAUGGGUGGUAAAUUCCAUCUAAAGCUAAAUAUUGGCGAGAGACCGAUAGCGAACAAGUACCGUGAGGGAAAGAUGAAAAGAACUUUGGAAAGAGAGUUAAACAGUACGUGAAAUUGCUGAAAGGGAAACGCUUGAAGUCAGUCGCGUUGGCCGGGGAUCAGCCUUGCUUUUGCAUGGUGUACUUUCUGGUUGACGGGUCAGCAUCAAUUUUGACCGCUGGAAAAAGACCUGGGGAAUGUGGCAGCUUCGGCUGUGUUAUAGCCCCUAGUCGCAUACAGUGGUUGGGAUUGAGGAACUCAGCACGCCGCAAGGCCGGGUUUCGACCACGUUCGUGCUUAGGAUGCUGGCAUAAUGGCUUUAAGCGACCCGUCUUGAAACACGGACCAAGGAGUCUAACAUGCCUGCGAGUAUUUGGGUGGAAAACCCAAGUGCGUAAUGAAAGUGAAAGUUGAGAUCCCUGUCGUGGGGAGCAUCGACGCCCGGACCAGAACUUUUGGGACGGAUCCGCGGUGGAGCAUGUAUGUUGGGACCCGAAAGAUGGUGAACUAUGCCUGAAUAGGGUGAAGCCAGAGGAAACUCUGGUGGAGGCUCGUAGCGAUUCUGACGUGCAAAUCGAUCGUCAAAUUUGGGUAUAGGGGCGAAAGACUAAUCGAACCAUCUAG